AUACGGAGGGUGCAAGCGUUGUUCGGAAUCACUGGGCGUAAAGGACGCGUAGGCGGGUUGUCAAGUCAGAUGUGAAAUCCUACAGCUUAACUGUAGAACUGCAUUUGAAACUGGCAACCUAGAGUAUGGGAGGGGGAGAUGGAAUUAGUGGUGUAGGGGUAAAAUCCGUAGAUAUCACUAGGAAUACCGAAAGCGAAGGCGAUCUCCUGGAACAUAACUGACGCUAAGGCGUGAAAGCGUGGGGAGCAAACGGGAUUAGAAACCCUAGUAGUCC
This 274-nucleotide ribosomal RNA is filed under the name uncultured bacterium. RNAcentral describes it as "partial 16S ribosomal RNA". It matches the Rfam family "Bacterial small subunit ribosomal RNA", at positions 523 to 796 of the family's 1533-position model. The record is from RNAcentral.